UUUUCUUAAUAUACUAGUUUUUUAUAGCCCUAAAAUCAUUAUCAAUUUGUUCAAAGCACUUGAGAUGAAGAAACUCUUUCAAAUAUCGAGUCCCAUUAUAGCUACAUUCAUCAUCAUCGCAAUAGGGUUAGUGGCGAAUGAAGCAUAUGGAAACAAAAAUUGUACUGAAAUUCUAAAUACAAAGGAA
This is a long non-coding RNA of Brassica napus (rape), 187 nucleotides long. RefSeq lists it as uncharacterized. The transcript has 2 exons. Lineage: Eukaryota; Viridiplantae; Streptophyta; Magnoliopsida; Brassicales; Brassicaceae. The record is from RefSeq and is a predicted model, not a curated record.